Molecule: ribosomal RNA, 120 nt
Filed under: uncultured bacterium
Lineage: Bacteria
Description: partial 16S ribosomal RNA
Rfam family: Bacterial small subunit ribosomal RNA
Source: RNAcentral
AAUCAACGCUGGCGGCGUGCCUAACACAUGCAAGUCGAACGAGAAAGUGGAGCAAUCCAUGAGUAAAGUGGCGACCGGGUGAGUAACACGUGACUAACCUACCUCCGAGUGGGGAAUAAC